This 73-nucleotide transfer RNA is filed under the name Homo sapiens (human). RNAcentral's name for it is "tRNA-Sup-CTA-3-1". Lineage: Eukaryota; Metazoa; Chordata; Mammalia; Primates; Hominidae. The record is from RNAcentral.
GGCGGGAUAAUGUAGUGGUUAAAGGCAUGGGCUCUAGAGCCAGACUUCCUGGGUUCAAAUCUCAGACCUGCUA